GACGAACGCUGGCGGCGUGCCUAAUACAUGCAAGUUGAGCGCUGAAGGUUGGUACUUGUACCAACUGGAUGAGCAGCGAACGGGUGAGUAACGCGUGGGGAAUCUGCCUUUGAGCGGGGGACAACAUUUGGAAACGAAUGCUAAUACCGCAUAAAAACUUUAAACACAAGUUUUAAGUUUGAAAGAUGCAAUUGCAUCACUCAAAGAUGAUCCCGCGUUGUAUUAGCUAGUUGGUGAGGUAAAGGCUCACCAAGGCGAUGCUACAUAGCCGACCUGAGAGGGUGAUCGGCCACAUUGGGACUGAGACACGGCCCAAACUCCUACGGGAGGCAGCAGUAGGGAAUCUUCGGCAAUGGGCGAAAGUCUGACCGAGCAACGCCGCGUGAGUGAAGAAGGUUUUCGGAUCGUAAAACUCUGUUGGUAGAGAAGAACGUUGGUGAGAGUGGAAAGCUCAUCAAGUGACGGUAACUACCCAGAAAGGGACGGCUAACUACGUG
RNAcentral lists this ribosomal RNA (497 nucleotides) under uncultured bacterium. RNAcentral describes it as "partial 16S ribosomal RNA". It matches the Rfam family "Bacterial small subunit ribosomal RNA", at positions 28 to 507 of the family's 1533-position model. The record is from RNAcentral.